Selaginella moellendorffii is the source of this 448-nucleotide long non-coding RNA. RefSeq lists it as uncharacterized. Lineage: Eukaryota; Viridiplantae; Streptophyta; Lycopodiopsida; Selaginellales; Selaginellaceae. The transcript has 3 exons. The record is from RefSeq and is a predicted model, not a curated record.
UGAGGCAAGGAGCAACUUUUGCAUUUGUGCUGCUGCUGCUGAUUCCAGCCAGGCAUCACAAUCGAGCAGCGGCGAAGAGAUUGAUCGAUUGAUAGAUAAGCUGCGGAGCACAGACUCCCAACUGCUACCACAGAUAGUUGCGGAGAAUGUCCUGGCGUUUGAUAGUAAGUUCUGGCUUCGACUGGCUACCAGGACAGACCUUUGUAAAUCGGAAGAUGAUAAGAUGGAUCUUGAAGAGCUUGCAUCCAACAUAAUGCAGCUAGUCGAGCGCAUUGUACAGAAGACAGAUGUUUACACAUAUCUGUUAUCACCCAAUUUUUGUCUGAAAGAAUGUUUAUUUGUCUGAAUGAACAGGAAAAGAUUGAAACUUCCACAGAUGUGCUUAUGGCGAUUCUAGAGCCAGUCGCAGGCUCCAAAAACGAAGAAAUUGUCUGGCCGCCUCGUGAUC